UUGAACGCUGGCGGCAUGCCUUACACAUGCAAGUCGAACGGCAGCACGGGGGCAACCCUGGUGGCGAGUGGCGAACGGGUGAGUAAUACAUCGGAACGUGCCCUGAAGUGGGGGAUAACGUAGCGAAAGUUACGCUAAUACCGCAUAUUCUGUGAGCAGGAAAGUGGGGGAUCGCAAGACCUCACGUUAUUCGAGCGGCCGACGUCUGAUUAGCUAGUUGGUGGGGUAAAGGCUCACCAAGGCGACGAUCAGUAGCGGGUCUGAGAGGAUGAUCCGUCACACUGGAACUGAGACACGGUCCAGACUCCUACGGGAGGCAGCAGUGGGGAAUUUUGGACAAUGGGGGCAACCCUGAUCCAGCCAUUCCGCGUGAGUGAAGAAGGCCUUCGGGUUGUAAAGCUCUUUCAGCCGGAACGAAACGGUACGCUCUAACAUAGCGUGCUAAUGACGGUACCGGCAGAAGAAGCACCGGCUAACUACGU
This 482-nucleotide ribosomal RNA is filed under the name uncultured bacterium. RNAcentral's name for it is "bacterial SSU rRNA". It matches the Rfam family "Bacterial small subunit ribosomal RNA", at positions 30 to 506 of the family's 1533-position model. The record is from RNAcentral.